RNAcentral lists this ribosomal RNA (1381 nucleotides) under metagenome. RNAcentral describes it as "bacterial LSU rRNA". It matches the Rfam family "Bacterial large subunit ribosomal RNA", at positions 1555 to 2925 of the family's 2925-position model. The record is from RNAcentral.
GAUGAGGGGUGAUAACGAGGCUGCUUGCAGCCGAAGUGAGUGAUACCCUGCUUCCAGGAAAAGCCACUAAGCUUCAGCUACACACGACCGUACCGCAAACCGACACUGGUGCGCGAGAUGAGUAUUCUAAGGCGCUUGAGAGAACUCAGGAGAAGGAACUCGGCAAAUUGACACCGUAACUUCGGAAGAAGGUGUGCCUUUAGUAGGUGAAGUCCCUCGCGGAUGGAGCCCAAUGAGGUUGCAAAAAAUCGGUGGCUGCGACUGUUUAUUAAAAACACAGCACUCUGCAAACACGAAAGUGGACGUAUAGGGUGUGACGCCUGCCCGGUGCUGGAAGAUUAAAUGAUGGGGUGCAAGCUCUUGAUUGAAGUCCCAGUAAACGGCGGCCGUAACGAUAACGGUCCUAAGGUAGCGAAAUUCCUUGUCGGGUAAGUUCCGACCUGCACGAAUGGCGUAACGAUGGCCACACUGUCUCCUCCUGAGACUCAGCGAAGUUGAAAUGUUUGUGAUGAUGCAAUCUCCCCGCGGAAAGACGGAAAGACCCCAUGAACCUUUACUGUAGCUUUGUAUUGGACUUUGAACAGAUCUGUGUAGGAUAGGUGGGAGGCUUUGAAGCAGGGUCGCUAGAUCUUGUGGAGCCAACGUUGAAAUACCACCCUGGUGUGUUUGAGGUUCUAACCUAGGUCCAUUAUCUGGAUCGGGGACAGUGCAUGGUAGGCAGUUUGACUGGGGCGGUCUCCUCCCAAAGUGUAACGGAGGAGUUCGAAGGUACGCUAGGUACGGUCGGACAUCGUGCUAAUAGUGCAAUGGCAUAAGCGUGCUUAACUGCGAGACUGACAAGUCGAGCAGAUGCGAAAGCAGGACAUAGUGAUCCGGUGGUUCUGUAUGGAAGGGCCAUCGCUCAACGGAUAAAAGGUACUCUGGGGAUAACAGGCUGAUACCGCCCAAGAGUUCAUAUCGACGGCGGUGUUUGGCACCUCGAUGUCGGCUCAUCUCAUCCUGGGGCUGUAGCCGGUCCCAAGGGUAUGGCUGUUCGCCAUUUAAAGAGGUACGUGAGCUGGGUUUAAAACGUCGUGAGACAGUUUGGUCCCUAUCUUCCGUGGGCGCUGCAGAUUUGAGGAAGCCUGCUCCUAGUACGAGAGGACCGGAGUGGACACACCUCUGGUGUAUCGGUUGUCACGCCAGUGGCAUUGCCGAGUAGCUAAGUGUGGAAGAGAUAACCGCUGAAAGCAUCUAAGCGGGAAACUCGUUUCAAGAUGAGAUCUGCCGGGGCCUUGAGCCCCCUGAAGAGUCGUUCAAGACCAGGACGUUGAUAGGUCGGGUGUGGAAGCGCAGUAAUGCGUUAAGCUAACCGAUACUAAUUGCUCGUGCGACUUGACCA